This 253-nucleotide ribosomal RNA is filed under the name uncultured bacterium. RNAcentral describes it as "partial 16S ribosomal RNA". It matches the Rfam family "Bacterial small subunit ribosomal RNA", at positions 524 to 776 of the family's 1533-position model. The record is from RNAcentral.
UACAGAGGUCUCAAUCCUUGUUCGUAUUCAUUGGGCGUAAAGGGGGCGUAGGCGGCGCGGUAAUUCGGGUGUGAAAUCUCGGAGCUUAACUCCGAAACUGCAUUCGAUACUGCCGUGCUUGAGGACUGGAGAGGAGACUGGAAUUUACGGUGUAGCGGUGAAAUGCGUAGAUAUCGUAAGGAAGACCAGUGGCGAAGGCGGGUCUCUGGACAGUUCCUGACGCUGAGGCACGAAGGUCAGGGGAGCAAACGGG